AUGGCCCACGUUGUCCUCAACUUCAACGCGUUCCUAGAGAAAACCAAGCUGAAAGACGAUGGCAGCAACUAUACGGACUGGUUCCAGAACCUGAGGAUGAUCCUCAUAGCUGCCAAGAAAGAUUAUGUCCUAGAAGCGCCGCUAGGUGACGCACCUGUCCCAGAGAACCAAGACGUUAUGAACGCUUGGCAGUCACGUGCUGAUGAUUACUCCCUCGUUCAGUGCGGCAUGCUUUACAGCUUAGAACCGGGGCUCCAAAAGCAUUUUGAGAGACACGGAGCAUAUGAGAUGUUCGAAGAGCUAAAAAUGGUUUUUCAAGCUCAUGCCCGGGUCGAGAGAUAUGAAGUCUCUGACAAGUUCUUCAGCUGUAAGAUGUAG
RNAcentral lists this ribosomal RNA (378 nucleotides) under Triticum aestivum (bread wheat). RNAcentral's name for it is "partial small subunit ribosomal RNA". The record is from RNAcentral. Lineage: Eukaryota; Viridiplantae; Streptophyta; Magnoliopsida; Poales; Poaceae.